ACGCUCGACACCUACGGGAGCAGCAGUGGGGAAUAUUGCACAAUGGGGGAAACCCGUGAUGCAGCAACGCCGCGUGAAGGAAGACGGUUUUCGGAUUGUAAACUUCUGUUCUUAGUGAAGAUAGUGACGGUAGCUAAGGAGCAAGCCACGGCUAACUACGUGCUAGCAGCCGCGGUAAUCUGAGCGGGCUGGCAAGGC
This 198-nucleotide ribosomal RNA is filed under the name uncultured bacterium. RNAcentral describes it as "partial 16S ribosomal RNA". It matches the Rfam family "Bacterial small subunit ribosomal RNA", at positions 328 to 539 of the family's 1533-position model. The record is from RNAcentral.